RNAcentral lists this small RNA (575 nucleotides) under Arabidopsis thaliana (thale cress). RNAcentral describes it as "ATSL061820". The record is from RNAcentral. Lineage: Eukaryota; Viridiplantae; Streptophyta; Magnoliopsida; Brassicales; Brassicaceae.
GUUGUUUUUAUUUUAUUUUCAAUGUUAAUAAAUAAAUCAUAUGCCAAAAAAAGUAAAAGUAAACCAAAACCAUAAGAAGAAUUUAAGAAGUUGAUUAAUCUCUUUUUUCAGAUUUUAAGGAUAAUUUAAGUAGGGAAAUUACUUGAGGUUUUUGAACUUUUUGAAGACCCAAAAAGAAAGUGAAUGCAAUCCCAUAUUGAUUUGAAAGUUAAUGCAUUAAAGACCAUCCCCAACCGGAGGCUUUUAGGUGAGGCCCUAACAAUAAAAAAAGUAAAAAAUAAUCAAAAGUUAGUAGGAACAUGAGAGAGAAACUCUUAAAACCCGUAAGUAAGGGACGAGCUCACAAACAAAAUAACACAUGUAUUUUUAUUACUGGUCUAUCUGUAUUAAAAAAAUAGAUUAUAACUAUUAAAAUAAAAUCUAUUUUUUUGUCUUUUUAGAAAUUUUUAGGGCCUUAACCGUUGGACAUGCUCUAAGUUGCCCAUGGUAUUGAUUUGGUACGAGUUAAUGCAAUCACCGUCUUUGUUUUAAAAGAAAGUUAUACUUUCCACGAUACGAAACAUUUAUGUUGGAAA